Molecule: ribosomal RNA, 264 nt
Filed under: Pseudomonas aeruginosa
Lineage: Bacteria; Pseudomonadati; Pseudomonadota; Gammaproteobacteria; Pseudomonadales; Pseudomonadaceae
Description: partial 16S ribosomal RNA
Rfam family: Bacterial small subunit ribosomal RNA
Source: RNAcentral
CGGAAGUACGCAUCGGAUACUGGGCGUAAGCGCGCGUAGGUGGUUCAGCAAGUUGGAUGUGAAAUCCCCGGGCUCAACCUGGGAACUGCAUCCAAAACUACUGAGCUAGAGUACGGUAGAGGGUGGUGGAAUUUCCUGUGUAGCGGUGAAAUGCGUAGAUAUAGGAAGGAACACCAGUGGCGAAGGCGACCACCUGGACUGAUACUGACACUGAGGUGCGAAAGCGUGGGGAGCAAACAGGAUUAGAUACCCCCCGUAGUCCCA